GCAUUUCUACUGGUUUCCGUUUUCUUUAGAUACUAAAUCUCACGGAUGCAUAGACGGAGCGGGUUGUCACUUCUUUGAAAAAGAUCCGAAAUUAGUAUGUGUUGCUGAAGCAGUCGCAUGUCCUGUAACAUGUGGAUGUUGUUGAGUUUGAUAAAUGUUACCGGAAGAUCCUUUCUAAUAAAUCGGUUCGUUUGUACAAACAA
Ruditapes philippinarum (Manila clam) is the source of this 203-nucleotide long non-coding RNA. RefSeq lists it as uncharacterized. The record is from RefSeq and is a predicted model, not a curated record. Lineage: Eukaryota; Metazoa; Mollusca; Bivalvia; Venerida; Veneridae. The transcript is spliced from 2 exons.